Lingula anatina is the source of this 195-nucleotide long non-coding RNA. Lineage: Eukaryota; Metazoa; Brachiopoda; Lingulata; Lingulida; Lingulidae. The record is from RefSeq and is a predicted model, not a curated record.
AGAUAGCGUAAAGACAAUAUAUAGAAGAAUACACAGUUAUUCAAGUUAUCCAAGUACAGCAAGAUUCUUCUUGAAUUGAUUUCAUCUACGAUGUGGUCACUGCAAUUCUACAUCAUCGCAUUGUUUCUGUUCGACAGUCCAGUAACCGGGUCGCACUUCAGAUAUGCCACAAUCAGCUGUAGGCCCGCUCCGGAU